UGGGGUGCUCUAUGGGGUGAUGUUGUUAUGGGGUUGUUAUGGGGUGUUAUGGGGCACUCUAUGGGGUGCUCUAUGGGGUGAUGUUGUUAUGGGGUUGUUAUGGGGCGCUCUAUGGGGCUGUCCCAUUACACCCAGUAUAUGGGCACGGUGCUGCACAGGAUGUUGGUGGUGGUGCCCAAAAUGGAGCGAUCAGAGACGGGGGGAGAUGGAACCGACUGCGGGGGGAGAUGGGGGUUAAUAUGGGAUGGAUGGGGGUUAAUAUUAUGGGAUGGAUGGGGGUUAAUAUGGGAUGGAUGGGGGUUAAUAUGGGAUGGAUGGGAUAUUAUGGGAUAAAUGGGAUGGGAUGGGGUUGGGGUAUGGGGUUGGAUGGGAUGGAUGGGAUAAAUGAGAUGGGAUGGGGAUGGGAUGAGAAGGGGGAGGAUAUGGGGUUGGGAUAG
Molecule: long non-coding RNA, 437 nt
Filed under: Coturnix japonica (Japanese quail)
Lineage: Eukaryota; Metazoa; Chordata; Aves; Galliformes; Phasianidae
Description: lncRNA (ENSCJPG00005005983.1)
Source: RNAcentral